GACUAAAACUCAAAGGAAUUGACGGGGACCCGCACAAGCGGUGGAGCAUGUGGUUUAAUUCGAUGCUACGCGAAAAACCUUACCACUUUUUGACAUGAAGGUCGUAUCCCUCCUAACAGGGGGAGUCAGUUCGGCUGGACCUUACACAGGUGCUGCAUGGUUGUCGUCAGCUCGUGUCGUGAGAUGUUGGGUUAAGUCCCGCAACGAGCGCAACCCUCAUUCUUAGUUACC
This 231-nucleotide ribosomal RNA is filed under the name uncultured Ehrlichia sp. RNAcentral's name for it is "partial 16S ribosomal RNA". It matches the Rfam family "Bacterial small subunit ribosomal RNA", at positions 892 to 1119 of the family's 1533-position model. Lineage: Bacteria; Pseudomonadati; Pseudomonadota; Alphaproteobacteria; Rickettsiales; Anaplasmataceae. The record is from RNAcentral.